Molecule: ribosomal RNA, 466 nt
Filed under: uncultured Mycobacterium sp.
Lineage: Bacteria; Bacillati; Actinomycetota; Actinomycetes; Mycobacteriales; Mycobacteriaceae
Description: bacterial SSU rRNA
Rfam family: Bacterial small subunit ribosomal RNA
Source: RNAcentral
UGAGUAACACGUGGGUGAUCUGCCCUGCACUUUGGGAUAAGCCUGGGAAACUGGGUCUAAUACCGAAUACACCCUGCUGGUCGCAUGGCCUGGUGGGGGAAAGCUUUUGCGGUGUGGGAUGGGCCCGCGGCCUAUCAGCUUGUUGGUGGGGUGAUGGCCUACCAAGGCGACGACGGGUAGCCGGCCUGAGAGGGUGACCGGCCACACUGGGACUGAGAUACGGCCCAGACUCCUACGGGAGGCAGCAGUGGGGAAUAUUGCACAAUGGGCGCAAGCCUGAUGCAGCGACGCCGCGUGAGGGAUGACGGCCUUCGGGUUGUAAACCUCUUUCAAUAGGGACGAAGCGUAAGUGACGGUACCUAUAGAAGAAGGACCGGCCAACUACGUGCCAGCAGCCGCGGUAAUACGUAGGGUCCGAGCGUUGUCCGGAAUUACUGGGCGUAAAGAGCUCGUAGGUGGUUUGUCG